UACGGGAGGCAGCAGUGGGGAAUAUUGGACAAUGGGCGAAAGCCUGAUCCAGCCAUGCCGCGUGUGUGAAGAAGGUCUUCGGAUUGUAAAGCACUUUAAGUUGGGAGGAAGGGCAGUAAGUUAAUACCUUGCUGUUUUGACGUUACCAACAGAAUAAGCACCGGCUAACUUCGUGCCAGCAGCCGCGGUAAUACGAAGGGUGCAAGCGUUAAUCGGAAUUACUGGGCGUAAAGCGCGCGUAGGUGGUUCAGCAAGUUGGAUGUGAAAUCCCCGGGCUCAACCUGGGAACUGCAUCCAAACUACUGAGCUAGAGUACGGUAGAGGUGGUGGAAUUUUCCUGUGUAGCGGUGAAAUGCGUAGAUAUAGGAAGGAACACCAGUGGCGAAGGCGACCACCUGGGACUGAUACUGACACUGAGGUGCGAAAGCGUGGGGAGCAAACAGGAUUAGAUACC
This 454-nucleotide ribosomal RNA is filed under the name uncultured bacterium. RNAcentral describes it as "bacterial SSU rRNA". It matches the Rfam family "Bacterial small subunit ribosomal RNA", at positions 340 to 786 of the family's 1533-position model. The record is from RNAcentral.